CUCAGACAUGCCAAUGGCGACCCCGCCCAU
This 30-nucleotide small RNA is filed under the name Bombyx mori (domestic silkworm). Its description in RNAcentral is "ovarian small RNA-14657". The record is from RNAcentral. Lineage: Eukaryota; Metazoa; Arthropoda; Insecta; Lepidoptera; Bombycidae.